RNAcentral lists this ribosomal RNA (501 nucleotides) under uncultured bacterium. RNAcentral's name for it is "partial 16S ribosomal RNA". It matches the Rfam family "Bacterial small subunit ribosomal RNA", at positions 28 to 523 of the family's 1533-position model. The record is from RNAcentral.
GUUGAACGCUGGCGGCAUGCCUUACACAUGCAAGUCGAACGGCAGCACGGGUGCUUGCACUUGGUGGCGAGUGGCGAACGGGUGGGUAAUACAUGGGAACGUACCUUAUCGUGGGGGAUAACGCAGCGAAAGCUGUGCUAAUACCGCAUACGCCCUGAGGGGGAAAGCGGGGGAUCGAAAGACCUCGCGCGAUUAGAGCGGCCGAUGCCUGAUUAGCUUGUUGGUGGGGUAGAAGCCCACCAAGGCGACGAUCAGUAGCUGGUCUGAGAGGACGAUCAGCCACACUGGGACUGAGACACGGCCCAGACUCCUACGGGAGGCAGCAGUGGGGAAUUUUGGACAAUGGGGGCAACCCUGAUCCAGCAAUGCCGCGUGAGUGAAGAAGGCCUUCGGGUUGUAAAGCUCUUUUGUCAGGGAAGAAACACCGGCUCUAACACAGUCCGGGAAUGACGGUACCUGAAGAGUAAGCACCGGCUAACUACGUGCCAGCAGCCGCAGUAA